GGCCAGUGAUGCUAUAAAAUAUUUGCUACUCUUGAUGAAGGCAACACGUUGUUUUUCAAUUGAUGAUUGGUUAACCACCAAGAUCUCUGAGGCC
Molecule: non-coding RNA, 94 nt
Organism: Brassica rapa (field mustard)
Lineage: Eukaryota; Viridiplantae; Streptophyta; Magnoliopsida; Brassicales; Brassicaceae
Source: Rfam